UAGGGAAUCUUCGGCAAUGGGGGGAACCCUGACCGAGCAACGCCGCGUGAGUGAAGAAGGUUUUCGGAUCGUAAAGCUCUGUUGUUAAGGAAGAACGAGUGUGAGAAUGGAAAGUUCAUACUGUGACGGUACUUAACCAGAAAGGGACGGCUAACUACGUGCCAGCAGCCGCGGUAAUACGUAGGUCCCGAGCGUUGUCCGGAUUUAUUGGGCGUAAAGCGAGCGCAGGCGGUUAGAUAAGUCUGAAGUUAAAGGCAGUGGCUCAACCAUUGUAGGCUUUGGAAACUGUUUAACUUGAGUGCAGAAGGGGAGAGUGGAAUUCCAUGUGUAGCGGUGAACUGCGUAGAUAUAUGGAGGAACACCGGUGGCGAAAGCGGCUCUCUGGUCUGUAACUGACGCUGAGGCUCGAAAGCGUGGGGAGCGAACAGG
This 429-nucleotide ribosomal RNA is filed under the name Bacteroidota bacterium. RNAcentral describes it as "Bacteroidetes bacterium partial 16S ribosomal RNA". It matches the Rfam family "Bacterial small subunit ribosomal RNA", at positions 355 to 776 of the family's 1533-position model. The record is from RNAcentral. Lineage: Bacteria; Pseudomonadati; Bacteroidota.